CGGUUGAUCCUGCCGGAGAUCACUGCUAUUGGAAUCCGAUUCAGGCAUGCGAGUCGCGAGGGUGAGGCCCUCGGCGCACUGCUCAGUAACACGUGGACAAUCUGCCCUUAGGUGGGGGAUAAUCUCGAGAAAUUGAGCAUAAUACCCCAUAGCUCUAGAAUGCUGGAAUGCUUCUAGAGUUAAAGCCCCGGCGCCUAAGGAUGAGUCUGCGGCCUAUCAGGUUGUAGUGAGUGUAACGGACUCACUAGCCGACGACGGGUACGGGUCCUGGAAGGGAGAGCCCGGAGAUGGACUCUGAGACACGAGUCCAGGCCCUACGGGGCGCAGCAGCUACGAAAACUUCACAAUGCGGGAAACCGUGAUGAGGGGAUUCCAAGUGCUAAUACUUUGUAUUAGCUGUUUCCUUGCCUAAAAAGCAGGGAGAGUAAGGGCUGGGUAAGACUGGUGCCAGCCGCCGCGGUAAUACCAGCAGCCCAAGUGGUGAUCGCUAUUAUUGGGCCUAAAGCGUCCGUAGCCGGUUUGGUAAAUCCUUGGGUAAAUCGGGCAGCUCAACUGCCCGACUUCCGAGGAGACUGCCAGACUUGGGACCGGGAGAGGUCAGAGGUACUCCAAGGGUAGAGGUGAAAUUCUGUAAUCCUUGGAGGACCACCAGUGGCGAAGGCGUCUGACUAGAACGGGUCCGACGGUGAGGGACGAAACCCUGGGGCGCGAACCGGAUUAGAUACCCGGGUAGUCCAGGGCGUAAACGCUGCGGGCUUGGUGUUGGGGGUCCUACGAGGGCGUCCAGUGCCGGAGAGAAGUUGUUAAGCCCGCCGCCUGGGGAGUACGAUCGCAAGAUUGAAACUUAAAGGAAUUGGCGGGGGAGCAC
Molecule: ribosomal RNA, 868 nt
Filed under: uncultured archaeon
Lineage: Archaea
Description: bacterial SSU rRNA
Rfam family: Archaeal small subunit ribosomal RNA
Source: RNAcentral